AACAGGUAGCUUGCUAUGCUGACGACCGGCGAACGGGUGCGUAACGCGUAUAGAAUCUGCCUUGUACAGGAGGAUAGCCUUUAGAAAUGAAGAUUAACACUCCAUAAUGUAGGGUUUCGGCAUCGAGACUUUAUUAAACAUUUAUGGGUACAAGAUGACUAUGCGUCCUAUUAGCUAGAUGGUAAGGUAACGGCUUACCAUGGCGACGAUAGGUAGGGGGUCUGAGAGGAUUAUCCCCCACACUGGUACUGAGACACGGACCAGACUCCUACGGGAGGCAGCAGUGAGGAAUAUUGGUCAAUGGAGGCAACUCUGAACCAGCUAUGCCGCGUGCAGGAUGACUGCCCUAUGGGUUGUAAACUGCUUUUAUACAGGAAGAAACCGUGGUACGUGUACCACCUUGACGGUACUGUAAGAAUAAGGACCGGCUAACUCCGUGCCAGCAGCCGCGGUAAUACGGAGGGUCCAAGCGUUAUCCGGAAUCAUUGGGUUUAAAGGGUCCGCAGGCGGUCAAUUAAGUCAGAGGUGAAAUCCCAUCGCUCAACGAUGGAACUGCCUUUGAUACUGGUUGACUUGAGUUAUACGGAAGUAGAUAGAAUAAGUAGUGUAGCGGUGAAAUGCAUAGAUAUUACUUAGAAUACCGAUUGCGAAGGCAGUCUACUACGUAUAUACUGACGCUCAUGGACGAAAGCGUGGGGAGCGAACAGGAUUAGAUACCCUGG
RNAcentral lists this ribosomal RNA (722 nucleotides) under Tenacibaculum sp. MAR_2010_205. Its description in RNAcentral is "bacterial SSU rRNA". It matches the Rfam family "Bacterial small subunit ribosomal RNA", at positions 70 to 790 of the family's 1533-position model. Lineage: Bacteria; Pseudomonadati; Bacteroidota; Flavobacteriia; Flavobacteriales; Flavobacteriaceae. The record is from RNAcentral.